This 664-nucleotide ribosomal RNA is filed under the name Salmonella enterica. Its description in RNAcentral is "bacterial SSU rRNA". It matches the Rfam family "Bacterial small subunit ribosomal RNA", at positions 858 to 1522 of the family's 1533-position model. Lineage: Bacteria; Pseudomonadati; Pseudomonadota; Gammaproteobacteria; Enterobacterales; Enterobacteriaceae. The record is from RNAcentral.
CGUUAAGUAGACCGCCUGGGGAGUACGGCCGCAAGGUUAAAACUCAAAUGAAUUGACGGGGGCCCGCACAAGCGGUGGAGCAUGUGGUUUAAUUCGAUGCAACGCGAAGAACCUUACCUGGUCUUGACAUCCACAGAAGAAUCCAGAGAUGGAUUUGUGCCUUCGGGAACUGUGAGACAGGUGCUGCAUGGCUGUCGUCAGCUCGUGUUGUGAAAUGUUGGGUUAAGUCCCGCAACGAGCGCAACCCUUAUCCUUUGUUGCCAGCGAUUAGGUCGGGAACUCAAAGGAGACUGCCAGUGAUAAACUGGAGGAAGGUGGGGAUGACGUCAAGUCAUCAUGGCCCUUACGACCAGGGCUACACACGUGCUACAAUGGCGCAUACAAAGAGAAGCGACCUCGCGAGAGCAAGCGGACCUCAUAAAGUGCGUCGUAGUCCGGAUUGGAGUCUGCAACUCGACUCCAUGAAGUCGGAAUCGCUAGUAAUCGUGGAUCAGAAUGCCACGGUGAAUACGUUCCCGGGCCUUGUACACACCGCCCGUCACACCAUGGGAGUGGGUUGCAAAAGAAGUAGGUAGCUUAACCUUCGGGAGGGCGCUUACCACUUUGUGAUUCAUGACUGGGGUGAAGUCGUAACAAGGUAACCGUAGGGGAACCUGCGGUUGGA